Molecule: long non-coding RNA, 308 nt
Organism: Panicum virgatum (switchgrass)
Lineage: Eukaryota; Viridiplantae; Streptophyta; Magnoliopsida; Poales; Poaceae
Exons: 2
Source: RefSeq, a predicted model, not a curated record
AUUUGAUAAGUUCAUUAAAUUUUGUGAAUGGUACGACAAUAUUUGAGGGCGAGCACGAUAUUGUCACUGAGGAGGACCUAGAACAUCUGCUUCAACUUUUAGAUAACAAGGAGAGUGGGGAUACAGCGUGGCAGAAUUUGAUGGAGCGCACAACCUCCAACAUGACCUACAAAGCCUGGCGGCAUGAGCCUGAGGAGGGACCUAUAAUGUAUUGCAGUCGAACUAUUUUUGAGGAUGCUACUCCUGAACUGGUUAGAGAUUUCUUCUGGGAUGGUGAUUUUCGUCUUAAGUGGGAUCCCAUGCUUGCA